AUUGAACGCUGGCGGCAGGCCUAACACAUGCAAGUCGAGCGGAUGAAGGGAGCUUGCUCCUGGAUUCAGCGGCGGACGGGUGAGUAAUGCCUAGGAAUCUGCCUGGUAGUGGGGGAUAACGUCCGGAAACGGGCGCUAAUACCGCAUACGUCCUGAGGGAGAAAGUGGGGGAUCUUCGGACCUCAUGCUAUCAGAUGAGCCUAGGUCGGAUUAGCUAGUUGGUGGGGUAAAGGCCUACCAAGGCGACGAUCCGUAACUGGUCUGAGAGGAUGAUCAGUCACACUGGAACUGAGACACGGUCCAGACUCCUACGGGAGGGAGCAGUGGGGAAUAUUGGACAAUGGGCGAAAGCCUGAUCCAGCCAUGCCGCGUGUGUGAAGAAGGUCUUCGGAUUGUAAAGCACUUUAAGUUGGGAGGAAGGGCAGUAAGUUAAUACCUUGCUGUUUUGACGUUACCAACAGAAUAAGCACCGGCUAACUUCGUG
Molecule: ribosomal RNA, 484 nt
Filed under: uncultured bacterium
Lineage: Bacteria
Description: partial 16S ribosomal RNA
Rfam family: Bacterial small subunit ribosomal RNA
Source: RNAcentral